Molecule: long non-coding RNA, 399 nt
Filed under: Androctonus crassicauda
Lineage: Eukaryota; Metazoa; Arthropoda; Arachnida; Scorpiones; Buthidae
Source: RNAcentral
CCAUUUUAAAUAUUACCCUAAAAAAAAAAAAAAAAAAACUGAUGGGCUCUCAUUCAUGCUGAAAGAAAAUGAUCGCAGCUCUCAAGUAUUUGAAAUUCUCCUAUGUGGCUCGUAAGUGACGCGAAUUUUGGCCACCCCUGCGAUAUUCUCAAGAGAAUGUAUUCUAAAGGAGUAUUGUAUACGAUAUAUCUUUUUUCCACAUUUUCUUUCAAAACUUGUAAAUUUUUGUUUUUAUUUUUUACUCCAACAUUAUCUUGUUUAUUGUUUCUUACAUCUUACUUAAUCUCUCUUAGAUACACGAGAUAUUCAAAUCCAGUACUAUUUGUUUGGUUAUUCUUUGCACAUAUAUCUCUCUUCUUUCUUUCUAUAAAUUUAUCUUUUUUUCUUCAUCAUUUUCUA